CAAUGAGUGUUUUAUGGCACUUUUUUAAAUCCAUAUCCACCUUGUGUGCAAUGUCAGGGUUGAUUUUCUCUCGAGAGGAUCAGCCCCAAACAUCAACUAUAUCUCAACUCUUUGUCUGAAAAAUAUUAUGAAUAAAACAAUUCAAAAUA
This 149-nucleotide unclassified non-coding RNA is filed under the name uncultured Mortierella. RNAcentral describes it as "sequence contains ITS1". Lineage: Eukaryota; Fungi; Mortierellomycota; Mortierellomycetes; Mortierellales; Mortierellaceae. The record is from RNAcentral.